RNAcentral lists this ribosomal RNA (460 nucleotides) under uncultured bacterium. Its description in RNAcentral is "partial 16S ribosomal RNA". It matches the Rfam family "Bacterial small subunit ribosomal RNA", at positions 338 to 795 of the family's 1533-position model. The record is from RNAcentral.
CCUACGGGUGGCAGCAGUGAGGAAUAUUGGUCAAUGGGCGCGAGCCUGAACCAGCCAAGUAGCGUGAAGGAUGACUGCCCUAUGGGUUGUAAACUUCUUUUAUAAAGGAAUAAAGUGCGUCACGUGUGCCUUUUUGUAGGUACUGUAUGAAUAAGGAUCGGCUAAUUCCGUGCCAGCAGCCGCGGUAAUACGGAGGGUCCGGGCGUUAUCCGGAUUUAUUGGGUUUAAAGGGAGCGUAGGCGGGUUGUUAAGACAGUUGUGAAAGUUCGCGGCUCAACCGUGGAAUUGCGACUGGUACUGGCUGUCUUGAGUGCAGUGAAGGUAGGCGGAAUUCGUGGUGUAGCGGUGAAAUGCUUAGAUAUCACGAAGAACUCCGAUUGCGAAGGCAGCUUACGGAACUGCUACUGACGUUGAUGCUCGAAGGUGUGGGUAUCGAACAGGAUUAGAUACCCUAGUAGUC